UACGGAAGGCAGCAGUGGGGAAUAUUGCACAAUGGGCGAAAGCCUGAUGCAGCUAUGCCGCGUGUAUGAAGAAGGCCUUAGGGUUGUAAAGUAUUUUCAUCGGGGAGGAAAAAACAAAACUAAUAAUUUUAUUUCUUGACGUUACCCGAAAAAGAAGCACCGGCUAACUCCGUGCCAGCAGCCGCGGUAAUACGGAGGGUGCUAGCGUUAAUCAGAAUUACUGGGCGUAAAGAGCACGUAGGUGGUUUUUUUAAAGUCAGAUGUGAAAUCCCUGGGCUUAACCUAGGAACUGCAUUUUGAAACUGAAAUACUAGAGUAUCGUAGAGGGAGGUAGAAUUCUAGGUGUAGCGGUGAAAUGCGUAGAUAUCUGGAGGAAUACCUGUGGCGAAAGCGGCCUCCUAAACGAAUACUGACACUGAGGGUGCGAAAGCGUGGGGAGCAAACAGGGAUUAGAUACC
This 458-nucleotide ribosomal RNA is filed under the name uncultured bacterium. Its description in RNAcentral is "bacterial SSU rRNA". It matches the Rfam family "Bacterial small subunit ribosomal RNA", at positions 340 to 786 of the family's 1533-position model. The record is from RNAcentral.